RNAcentral lists this ribosomal RNA (254 nucleotides) under uncultured bacterium. Its description in RNAcentral is "partial 16S ribosomal RNA". It matches the Rfam family "Bacterial small subunit ribosomal RNA", at positions 524 to 776 of the family's 1533-position model. The record is from RNAcentral.
UACAGAGACUGCAAGCGUUAUUCGGAUUCACUGGGCGUAAAGGGUGCGCAGGUGGCCAGGUGUGUGAGGCGUGAAAGCCCGGGGCUUAACCCCGGAAUUGCACCUCAAACUACUUGGCUAGAGCAUUGGAGAGGGGAGCAGAAUUCGAUGGUGUAGCAGUGAAAUGCGUAGAUAUCAUGAGGAAUACCAGAGGCGAAGGCGGCUCCCUGGACAAUUGCUGACACUCAGGCACGAAAGCGUGGGGAGCAAAAGGG